GAUGAACGCUGGCGGCGUGCUUAACACAUGCAAGUCGAACGAGAAAUGUAGACGGAAACCUUCGGGCGGAAGCCUUCAUUUCGAGUGGCGGACGGGUGAGUAACGCGCGGGUAACCUGCCUCAUACAGGGGGAUAACAGUUGGAAACGACUGUUAAUACCGCAUAAGACCACAGCAUCGCAUGAUGCGGGGGUAAAAACUCCGGUGGUAUGAGAUGGACCCGCGUUCGAUUAGCCAGUUGGCGGGGUAACGGCCCACCAAAGCGACGAUCGAUAGCCGAUCUGAGAGGAUGGCCGGCCACACUGGGACUGAGACACGGCCCGAACUCCUACGGGAGGCAGCAGUGGGGAAUAUUGCACAAUGGGGGAAACCCUGAUGCAGCGACGCCGCGUGAGUGAAGAAGUACUUCGGUAUGUAAAGCUCUAUCAGCAGGGAAGAAAAUGACGGUACCUGAGUAAGAAGCCCCGGCUAACUACGUG
This 478-nucleotide ribosomal RNA is filed under the name uncultured bacterium. RNAcentral's name for it is "partial 16S ribosomal RNA". It matches the Rfam family "Bacterial small subunit ribosomal RNA", at positions 28 to 507 of the family's 1533-position model. The record is from RNAcentral.